ACGAACGCUGGCGGCGUGCUUAACACCUGCCAGUCGAACGGAAAGGCCCUGCUUGCAGGGUACUCGAGUGGCGAACGGGUGAGUAACACGUGGGUGAUCUGCCCUGCACUUCGGGAUAAGCCUGGGAAACUGGGUCUAAUACCGGAUAGGAGCCAUUUUUAGUGUGAUGGUUGGAAAGUUUUUUCGGUGUAGGAUGAGCUCGCGGCCUAUCAGCUUGUUGGUGGGGUAAUGGCCUACCAAGGCGGCGACGGGUAGCCGGCCUGAGAGGGUGGACGGCCACAUUGGGACUGAGAUACGGCCCAGACUCCUACGGGAGGCAGCGGUGGGGAAUAUUGCACAAUGGGCGCAAGCCUGAUGCAGCGACGCCGCGUGGGGGAUGACGGCCUUCGGGUUGUAAACUCCUUUCGCUAGGGACGAAGCUUUUUGUGACGGUACCUAGAUAAGAAGCACCGGCUAACUACGUG
Molecule: ribosomal RNA, 464 nt
Filed under: uncultured bacterium
Lineage: Bacteria
Description: partial 16S ribosomal RNA
Rfam family: Bacterial small subunit ribosomal RNA
Source: RNAcentral